Molecule: long non-coding RNA, 1537 nt
Filed under: Phaseolus vulgaris (common bean)
Lineage: Eukaryota; Viridiplantae; Streptophyta; Magnoliopsida; Fabales; Fabaceae
Description: long non-coding RNA (PVUL_LNC000833)
Source: RNAcentral
UUUUUAAAAUCCAAAUUAUCAGAAUAAAUUUUUUUCACAAAAUAAAAUAUUAUAAAUUGAAGAAGGGAUUAUUAGUACCUUAAAAGUUUUAAUUAAUAAUGACUUGGGAAAUCUAUUUAAACAAAUGAAAAUAGUAAUUAACAUCUUAGUUAAAUAAGAUCCAAAACAAUUUUAGUACAAUUCACCAACCAAAUGUUUGUCUCCUGCAUAGUCACACUCAUUUGCUAACUUGAGUCAAGCAAGCAUUAACUUUACAGGUUCAGUAGUAUUAGCCUUUGAAGUACAAAUCUCUGUUAUUAAAUUUCUCAAACUCUUAACAAAUUAAUUGAAGUAUAGCCUUUAAUACUUGGUUUACAUGCUUCCAAGCACCCUCUGCACCAAUAUGCGCACUUAAAUAGACAACUAACUAAUUACUUAUUAGAAUUUAAAUCUUGAAGACUUUCAUUAAAUUUAGCAUAAGGUAAAAAUAGAUAUAUGAUAUCUCAAAUAGUAAAAUGAAGUGACAUACUUUUCAAGCAGUUAAGCUUUCAUUGGUUAAAAUGAUACUUCAUAGCAUAGUGCAAACAAACAUUUAAUCUCACACAUGGAACCUAGUCCCCCCGUAGCAUUUAAUCUUCAGUGUGAAUGUGUAAUUGUGUGUAAGAUAUCAUCUAUGCAAUGACAUACUAUAGUUUCAUUUUAAGUUAAAAUAACCACCCAGACAAACUAAUAAACCCUACGACUCUUACUUGUGAAUAAUUCAAGUAUGUGUGAUACCAAAAAAAAAUCUAACAGGAAAAUUCAAGAAAUCAAACAAAUAUCUUCAACUCAUUACCAGGUCUUUGUGUCAAAUAUGAUACAACUACUUGUUAAUUGCUCCUCGCUCAUCACAACCUUGUUUUACUGCACACAUAAGUUGUUUUACUAGUUUCUUAUUUUUGAAGUUCUUAAGAUUUUUUACCCUAAACCCUAAACCUGUACAUCAUCAUCUAACCAACAAAAAACCAAUUCAAACAUCCCUACAGCGGCAAAAACACAUUGCUCCCUGCACACAACUUCAUUUCUAAACUAGUGGAUCAUAAGUGCAUGAUUACUUGGAAUUUAUAGACACCAGAGCUAGACACCUUCAGCACCUAAGGACCCUACAAAAACUAAAAUUUUGCUGCAUAAUUAUGCAGAAAACAGGUUCUGUAGCACCAAAAACAGAGGAUAUAAAUAGAGCAGCAUAUUGGCAAAAAACUAGUAGCAGCAUAUUGGCAAAACGAUUAUGCAUCUACAACACUUUUAUUGAAUUUUUUUCACUUGCACUUGCCAUUUCAUAUUUCAUACUGGGUGAAACAAUCCGUAUAAAUCAUCCAUAGUAGUAAUUAAACAAGUAUAUCAAUAAACACGAGUUUUAGGAGGGAAUGAUUCCACCUGUUCAACAUGUUCAUGUGUACUGGCCUGUAAUCUAACCAGAUCUUAUCAUUCUCCCAAUAUCUGCAAAUCAAUGCACAAAAACUCAACUAACAAAAGCAAAGCAACUUGUAGACACAACACAAGUAUUUUUAUCAUCAAA